GCCCGGAUGGCGGAAUUGGCAGACGCGACGGUCUCAAACACCGUUGGAGCAAUCCAUCCCGGUUCGAGCCCGGGUCCGGGCA
RNAcentral lists this transfer RNA (82 nucleotides) under Bacteroides sp. RNAcentral describes it as "tRNA-Leu". Lineage: Bacteria; Pseudomonadati; Bacteroidota; Bacteroidia; Bacteroidales; Bacteroidaceae. RNAcentral also lists the same sequence under 2 other names. The record is from RNAcentral.